GCAUCGACCGGCAAAGAGCCGAAGCCUAGGAUGCAAGUAUAGCUGCUUCCACUGUCCACGCCAUGCCUCCACUCCCUUAGGCAUCCACAUCCCAAAUCCGCCGCCGCCGCUGCCCUCUAGGCCAGUCGCCAGCCGCCCUCCGGCAGUCCAGCCUCCGCUCCCCGAACCCCGGCUCCAGCGGUGCCGCCCUCCUUGGCGCGAGCUGCGCCACUCGCCGUCCGCCCGCGCCUGCCUUGGAUCCCGCCCACCGGCACCGAUCCGCGUCAUCGUCGCUCUGUUUCGCCAAUCACCAGCGCACUGCCGUGAUGGAUCACCGUGUUCAUAUGUAGUAGCCGUGAUAGAUCUGUGAUUUAGUUGAAGUGGACAAAUCUUAGAGCUUUUGCAGUCUUGUAUUGCUGAAAAGGAGCGCACCUGAUGUUCUGAUGAAAGUAACAUUACCCCUGAUAAGAUAAGUACUCUAGAACAUGGAAUUCUGAUGACAAUUGUGUUGGUCCUGGACUUUUAAUUCUGUAAGAAAGGUAACACACAGUUGUUACUUCUCUUUUAGAGCAUGAAAACCGUUUUUACCUUGGACCCUGCAUCCAUUGGACAAUAAUAACCUGAACCCAAGAACCAAAAGAAUGACUGGAUAUGAUGUUUUUGUAAUGGUAUUCCCCCCCCCCCCCCCUCUUUUGCUAGUGCCUCAACCCUUUCAACUGAGGCUGAUAGUAACUACCCUUCAAUUGAGAUGCUGAAUGAAUUCACUACUGGGUUUUACUUUGCUGGUUGGGCCAACCUAUGCAUUUUGAGACAAUCAUGCAAUGGUUUCAUUUUUAGUUAUGCUCAGCAGAAUACCAUCUUCUUAGUUCUUGUAGAAUUUUUGUUGUAUGGAGCUAAACGUGCAGCUGGACUAUUGAAGGAACAUUAUGCUCUGCAUUGUAUCUAUAUGAAGAAUGCCCUAUCUUUAAGAAUA
Molecule: long non-coding RNA, 952 nt
Organism: Phragmites australis (common reed)
Lineage: Eukaryota; Viridiplantae; Streptophyta; Magnoliopsida; Poales; Poaceae
Exons: 2
Source: RefSeq, a predicted model, not a curated record